Calidris pugnax (ruff) is the source of this 417-nucleotide long non-coding RNA. RefSeq lists it as uncharacterized. Lineage: Eukaryota; Metazoa; Chordata; Aves; Charadriiformes; Scolopacidae. The record is from RefSeq and is a predicted model, not a curated record. The transcript is spliced from 3 exons.
GAGAGGGCCAGUGGAGACAUGUAAUGCCUGUCGAUAACUGCGUUUAAUUUCCUUGGCAAGUGGCCUCUUUGAAUAAAAUUGCACACUUCCUGCUUUGACAACAUACUGAUGAUGUAUGCGAGAGAAAAUCAGGAGUCGUCGUCCUGCUGAAAAUGUUGGAAAUGUCUUUGGAUGUUCAGAGAAGAAUUGGACAGACUGUGGGUACCCCCCCAAAAGAACUGGUGAACAGAUCACAGAUCCCUGGGCGAAAUUAAUCCCUGAAGGAAUUUUUUUUUAUAUAUAUGUUUUUCACUGAAAGAAGGUUCAGUCCUCUAUUUGUAAGCAGUGCUGGUGGAGAACUGGAAAAUACUCUUAAUGCUUUAACCAUUAGACUAAUUAUAGUUCACUUGAUUCCCUAAUGUAAUAAAACUCUUCCUU